UACGUAGGUGGCAAGCGUUGUCCGGAUUUACUGGGCGUAAAGAGCGCGCAGGCGGUCGUUCAAGUCGGGUGUGAAAGCCCCCGGCUCAACUGGGGAGGGUCACGCGAUACUGAUCGACUCGAAGGCAGGAGAGGGAAGUGGAAUUCCCGGUGUAGUGGUGAAAUGCGUAGAUAUCGGGAGGAACACCAGUGGCGAAGGCGACUUCCUGGCCUGUUCUUGACGCUGAGGCGCGAAAGCUAGGGGAGCAAACGGG
This 253-nucleotide ribosomal RNA is filed under the name uncultured bacterium. RNAcentral describes it as "partial 16S ribosomal RNA". It matches the Rfam family "Bacterial small subunit ribosomal RNA", at positions 524 to 776 of the family's 1533-position model. The record is from RNAcentral.